RNAcentral lists this ribosomal RNA (253 nucleotides) under uncultured bacterium. RNAcentral's name for it is "partial 16S ribosomal RNA". It matches the Rfam family "Bacterial small subunit ribosomal RNA", at positions 524 to 776 of the family's 1533-position model. The record is from RNAcentral.
UACGUAGGGGGCGAGCGUUGUCCGGAUUUAUUGGGCGUAAAGAGCUCGUAGGCGGUCUGUUACGUCCGCUGUGAAAACCCAGGGCUUAACCCUGGGCUUGCAGUGGAUACGGGUAGACUAGAGGCAGGUAGGGGAGAAUGGAAUUCCCGGUGUAGCGGUGAAAUGCGCAGAUAUCGGGAGGAACACCGGUGGCGAAGGCGGUUCUCUGGGCCUGACCUGACGCUGAGGAGCGAAAGCGUGGGGAGCGAACAGG